Alosa alosa (allis shad) is the source of this 623-nucleotide long non-coding RNA. RefSeq lists it as uncharacterized. NCBI's taxonomy places the organism in Eukaryota, Metazoa, Chordata, Actinopteri, Clupeiformes, Clupeidae. The transcript has 5 exons. The record is from RefSeq and is a predicted model, not a curated record.
UAUAUAUACAGUCUAUGGCUUAAAUAGUCUACCAGUUGGAUUGACACGCAAAGACAUGUGAAGACAACAGUAUUGAUACCCGUGCCAUUGUGGAACAGUGUUCUAGAAUCUUUGAUUGCAACCGUUGGUCCUCCACAUCAAGCGACAAGCCGGCAGUGUAAGCGUGAAGGCAAUGUUCAGCCCCACUCAUAUUCCAGAAACACAGUGACACCGGAUCAUAACGAAGGACUGUUACAGCGGCCUCCACACCACCCUCUUCCAGAGCUCCUUCAGAACACUAUAGAUAUGGCACAAGAUGAUUGGCAACAAGAGACACCCAGUGAUGAGCUCUCCUGAAUGCUAGAGGCUGAGAGAGAGUAGUCACUAGAGUGGCUGGCUGCCUGUUUGGAUAAGACACAUUUCACAAGACACAUUUCAUCCAUUGUAUUCAAGAUCAAAGAUUUCUCAGAUCAGCUCCUGCAGGAUGCACAGGUAUUUUGGACAAGUUCUCUCUACUGUUGUCAGUACACUACUGUUUUAUGAGCAUUGCUAGUUAAUUGUUUUUUUUGUUUUUUGUAUAUUUUUUUUGAGUUUUUUUGUAAAAUGUUUUUUAGAUUUUAGUAAAAUUGUUGUUCAAAAUGACA